Molecule: ribosomal RNA, 1285 nt
Filed under: Salmonella enterica subsp. enterica
Lineage: Bacteria; Pseudomonadati; Pseudomonadota; Gammaproteobacteria; Enterobacterales; Enterobacteriaceae
Description: partial 23S ribosomal RNA
Rfam family: Bacterial large subunit ribosomal RNA
Source: RNAcentral
AGACCCGAAACCCGGUGAUCUAGCCAUGGGCAGGUUGAAGGUUGGGUAACACUAACUGGAGGACCGAACCGACUAAUGUUGAAAAAUUAGCGGAUGACCUGUGGCUGGGGGUGAAAGGCCAAUCAAACCGGGAGAUAGCUGGUUCUCCCCGAAAGCUAUUUAGGUAGCGCCUCGUGAAUUCAUCUCCGGGGGUAGAGCACUGUUUCGGCUAGGGGGCCAUCCCGGCUUACCAACCCGAUGCAAACUGCGAAUACCGGAGAAUGUUAUCACGGGAGACACACGGCGGGUGCUAACGUCCGUCGUGAAGAGGGAAACAACCCAGACCGCCAGCUAAGGUCCCAAAGUCAUGGUUAAGUGGGAAACGAUGUGGGAAGGCCCAGACAGCCAGGAUGUUGGCUUAGAAGCAGCCAUCAUUUAAAGAAAGCGUAAUAGCUCACUGGUCGAGUCGGCCUGCGCGGAAGAUGUAACGGGGCUAAACCAUGCACCGAAGCUGCGGCAGCGAACGUAUCACUUAAAGCGAUUCAGCGGGUUACGAUUGACGGAGCGAAGCGACGUCAAAGCGUAUACAAAGUCGAGUCGGUUUAAGGAUACGUUCGUUGGGUAGGGGAGCGUUCUGUAAGCCCGUGAAGGUGGCCUGUGAGGGUUGCUGGAGGUAUCAGAAGUGCGAAUGCUGACAUAAGUAACGAUAAAGCGGGUGAAAAGCCCGCUCGCCGGAAGACCAAGGGUUCCUGUCCAACGUUAAUCGGGGCAGGGUGAGUCGACCCCUAAGGCGAGGCCGAAAGGCGUAGUCGAUGGGAAACGGGUUAAUAUUCCCGUACUUGGUGUUACUGCGAAGGGGGGACGGAGAAGGCUAUGUUGGCCGGGCGACGGUUGUCCCGGUUUAAGCGUGUAGGUGUGUGUUCCAGGUAAAUCCGGUUCACUUUAACACUGAGGCGUGAUGACGAGGCACUACGGUGCUGAAGCAACAAAUGCCCUGCUUCCAGGAAAAGCCUCUAAGCAUCAGGUAACAUCAAAUCGUACCCCAAACCGACACAGGUGGUCAGGUAGAGAAUACCAAGGCGCUUGAGAGAACUCGGGUGAAGGAACUAGGCAAAAUGGUGCCGUAACUUCGGGAGAAGGCACGCUGACACGUAGGUGAAGUGAUUUACUCAUGGAGCUGAAGUCAGUCGAAGAUACCAGCUGGCUGCAACUGUUUAUUAAAAACACAGCACUGUGCAAACACGAAAGUGGACGUAUACGGUGUGACGCCUGCCCGGUGCCGGAAGGUUAAUUGAUGGGGUCAGCG